AGUGAACUGUCUUUGUUAUAAAAUUGUUCAAUAUCAUUCCACGAAGCAGCAAGGCCAUCGGACUUAAAGGCGUAUUUCAUCAGGUUGUUUCAACACACUUCAUUAGAUGAGGGGGAUCAAACAUGAGAUGGGCCUCUUUAAGAACAUCUUCCAAAAUUUCAGUUGGGCAUCCUCCAUUGGCAAGCACAUAACCAAGACAUUUGAUGCGCGAUAUAUACUUUGGCUAGCAAUAUUGUGAUACAUCACACAACAUCACACUAUCACACUCGAAUGACGUAAUGUCCGCAGUGUUGCAUUCGUCUUUCUCCCGAAAAUACUCGAUGAAAACUCUCCUCACUGACAAUUUUACCCAUUCCGUUUAUUUUACGUCUUAAUACUCUUUAAUUCGAGCGAAAACAGUUUGCAAAACGCUUGCAAAUAUCGAGCAAGAGUCUGUCAUUAUACCUUUUUAUUUACAAUUUUGCAUGAACAAUUAUAUGAUAUGUCACCUAUAGCAGUGUAGGUAGGUUCUUAGCCAAUUGCAAUCGAGAUUGCAUAAUAUGCAUAAUAAUAGUAUUUCCCAUGACUUCUGACUGGAAAAAGCCAAAGGUCAUUUCUCACUGGAUCACUGGGGAAAGCCGAAAUCAUUUCUGACUAGGAAAAGCUGAAAAUAUGUCGAAGCGCAGGCGUAACAAUUGUCAAUCGGUUGACGAUUUGCGAAAAGAUGUCAACGAGGAACUACAUCAAGAAUAUGUGGGGUCGAGGAUAUUAAGUGAUAUCCAAUCUAUUAAUUUGAAAGUCUGCAAUGAUCUAAAUGUUGAUGUAAUUCUAUUUGUUCUUGUUUUGAAA
Molecule: long non-coding RNA, 828 nt
Organism: Xenia sp. Carnegie-2017
Lineage: Eukaryota; Metazoa; Cnidaria; Anthozoa; Malacalcyonacea; Xeniidae
Exons: 2
Source: RefSeq, a predicted model, not a curated record